GCUGGUCUGGAACUCCUGACCUCAUGAUCUGCCCGCCUCAGCCUCCCAAAGUGCUGGGAUUACAGGCGUGAGCCACCAUGCCCAGUCGACAUAUUCACAUUUUUAAUAGGAAUAACAGUAUACUAAAAUCUAUUUAGUGCAUGUUUUAAGAUUUGAAGAUGUAAUUUGACUCAGUACUUUCCACUUGCAUUUUUUUCUUCAUUCUGUGCCUGCUAAGACUAUUCUAAUACUUUAUUAUAGUUAACCCCUGAGGAAAGAGCUCCCAGAGCUUACGGUGCAUUUGGUUGAUGUCAUAUGGACUAUUCAUUAUUUUCUAAAUUAUUUUGUUUGUAUAAAGCAAUCUGAAGAGGAUGUAAGUUAGUUUGACUCCAAGUUUACACGUCAGACACCUGUCGACAGCCCAGAUGACUCAACUCUCAGUGAAAGUGCCAAUCAGGUCUUUCUGAUGCCACUGUGAGAAUGGGAACAAUGGAACAGGCCCUCACCAAAUGCCAAAUGUGCUAUCACCUUGAUUUUGGAUUUCCCAGCCUCUGGAACUGUGAGGAAUAAAUUUUUUGCUUAUAAAUUA
Molecule: long non-coding RNA, 568 nt
Organism: Symphalangus syndactylus (siamang)
Lineage: Eukaryota; Metazoa; Chordata; Mammalia; Primates; Hylobatidae
Source: RefSeq, a predicted model, not a curated record